AUUGAACGCUGGCGGCAGGCUUAACACAUGCAAGUCGAGCGGAGCGAGGGUGCUUGCACCUUAGCUUAGCGGCGGACGGGUGAGUAAUGCUUAGGAAUCUGCCUAUUAGUGGGGGACAACAUUCCGAAAGGGAUGCUAAUACCGCAUACGCCCUACGGGGGAAAGCAGGGGAUCUUCGGACCUUGCGCUAAUAGAUGAGCCUAAGUCGGAUUAGCUAGUUGGUGGGGUAAAGGCCUACCAAGGCGACGAUCUGUAGCGGGUCUGAGAGGAUGAUCCGCCACACUGGGACUGAGACACGGCCCAGACUCCUACGGGAGGCAGCAGUGGGGAAUAUUGGACAAUGGGGGGAACCCUGAUCCAGCCAUGCCGCGUGUGUGAAGAAGGCCUUUUGGUUGUAAAGCACUUUAAGCGAGGAGGAGGCGCUCUAGGAUAAUACCCUAGAUGCGUGGACGUACUCGCAGAAUAAG
RNAcentral lists this ribosomal RNA (467 nucleotides) under Acinetobacter sp. oral taxon C51. RNAcentral describes it as "bacterial SSU rRNA". It matches the Rfam family "Bacterial small subunit ribosomal RNA", at positions 30 to 490 of the family's 1533-position model. Lineage: Bacteria; Pseudomonadati; Pseudomonadota; Gammaproteobacteria; Moraxellales; Moraxellaceae. The record is from RNAcentral.